Molecule: ribosomal RNA, 1372 nt
Filed under: uncultured bacterium
Lineage: Bacteria
Description: 16S ribosomal RNA
Rfam family: Bacterial small subunit ribosomal RNA
Source: RNAcentral
UGAACGCUGGCGGUAUGCUUAACACAUGCAAGUCGGACGGAAACGAUACUAGCUUGCUAGUAGGCGUCGAGUGGCGGACGGGUGAGUAACGCGUAGGAAUCUGCCUGAUAGUGGGGGAUAGCCCGAAGAAAUUCGGAUUAAUACCGCAUAAUCUAUUCGUAGUAAAGUGGGGGACUUUCGAGCCUCACGCUAUCAGAUGAGCCUGCGUAAGAUUAGCUUGUUGGUAGGGUAAAAGCCUACCAAGGCGACGAUCUUUAGCUGGUCUGAGAGGAUGAUCAGCCACAUCGGGACUGAGACACGGCCCGAACUCCUACGGGAGGCAGCAGUGGGGAAUAUUGGACAAUGGGGGCAACCCUGAUCCAGCAAUACCGCGUGUGUGAAGAAGGCCUGAGGGUUGUAAAGCACUUUCAAUUGUGAAGAAAAGUUAGCGGUUAAUAACCGUUAGCCUUGACGUUAACUUUAGAAGAAGCACCGGCUAACUCCGUGCCAGCAGCCGCGGUAAUACGGAGGGUGCAAGCGUUAAUCGGAAUUACUGGGCGUAAAGCGUGCGUAGGCGGUUUAUUAAGUCAGAUGUGAAAGCCCCGGGCUUAACCUGGGAACUGCAUUUGAAACUGGUCAACUAGAGUAUGGUAGAGGAAAGUGGAAUUUCUGGUGUAGCGGUGAAAUGCGUAGAUAUCAGAAGGAACAUCAAUGGCGAAGGCAGCUUUCUGGACCAAUACUGACGCUGAGGUACGAAAGCGUGGGUAGCAAACAGGAUUAGAUACCCUGGUAGUCCACGCCGUAAACGAUGAUAACUAGCCGUUGGGGGGAUUUACCCUUUAGUGGCGAAGCUAACGCGUUAAGUUAUCCGCCUGGGGAGUACGGCCGCAAGGUUAAAACUCAAAGGAAUUGACGGGGACCCGCACAAGCGGUGGAGCAUGUGGUUUAAUUCGAUGCAACGCGAAGAACCUUACCUGGUCUUGACAUCCUGCGAACUUUCUAGAAAUAGAUUGGUGCCUUCGGGAACGCAGUGACAGGUGCUGCAUGGCUGUCGUCAGCUCGUGUCGUGAGAUGUUGGGUUAAGUCCCGUAACGAGCGCAACCCCUAUCCUUAUUUGCCAGCACAUCAUGGUGGGAACUAUAAGGAGACUGCCGGUGAUAAACCGGAGGAAGGCGGGGACGACGUCAAGUCAUCAUGGCCCUUACGACCAGGGCUACACACGUGCUACAAUGGGAAGGACAAAGAGCCGCGAAGCCGCGAGGUGUAGCUAAUCUCAUAAACCUUUUCGUAGUCCGGAUUGGAGUCUGCAACUCGACUCCAUGAAGUCGGAAUCGCUAGUAAUCGUAGAUCAGAAUGCUACGGUGAAUACGUUCCCGGGUCUUGUACACACCGC